GCCUAAUAUUUACUAAAUGCUUUCCUUCUGUUUCAGAAUGUGAGGCCCUUGGGGGAACAGACUGUGCUUCAUUCAUCUGUAGACCCCUAAGCCUAGAAGAGGGCCCAAUGGGGACUCUGUGAGAUGUGUACCGCGAUGGACACAUGGAAGGAUGGAGAACCAGCUGUGCUCCAUUAUGUAUGUGUGGCACCUUGGACUCUUUAUCCCUGCAAUGGAUCGAAUGUGUUUUGCGCCUCCUCGUUAAUAUGCUGAAUCCUAACGCCGAGGUGAUGACUCUGGAAGAUGGACUUUGAGGGUGAGUAGGUCAUGGGAGUAGAGCCACUAUGGAUGGGGCCAGGUCUUUAUAAAAGACCCCUGAAAGAUCCUCUUGCUCCUUCUGCCCUUUAGGACACUGCAAAAUGCCAGCCAUCUAUGAACUAGAAGUGGAACCUCACCAGACACUUAAGCUACCAACACCUUGAUUUUGAACUUCCCAGCCUCUAGACUGUGAGAAAUAAAUUUCUGUUAUUUACAAGCCACUCAAUCG
This 526-nucleotide long non-coding RNA is filed under the name Fukomys damarensis (Damara mole-rat). Its description in RNAcentral is "lncRNA (ENSFDAG00000029674.1)". The record is from RNAcentral. Lineage: Eukaryota; Metazoa; Chordata; Mammalia; Rodentia; Bathyergidae.